This 2896-nucleotide ribosomal RNA is filed under the name Escherichia coli DEC10A. RNAcentral describes it as "bacterial LSU rRNA". It matches the Rfam family "Bacterial large subunit ribosomal RNA". Lineage: Bacteria; Pseudomonadati; Pseudomonadota; Gammaproteobacteria; Enterobacterales; Enterobacteriaceae. The record is from RNAcentral.
UAAGCGACUAAGCGUACACGGUGGAUGCCCUGGCAGUCAGAGGCGAUGAAGGACGUGCUAAUCUGCGAUAAGCGUCGGUAAGGUGAUAUGAACCGUUAUAACCGGCGAUUUCCGAAUGGGGAAACCCAGUGUGAUUCGUCACACUAUCAUUAACUGAAUCCAUAGGUUAAUGAGGCGAACCGGGGAACUGAAACAUCUAAGUACCCGAGGAAAGAAAUCAACCGAGAUUCCCCCAGUAGCGGCGAGCGAACGGGGAGCAGCCCAGAGCCUGAAUCAGUAUGUGUGUUAGUGGAAGCGUCUGGAAAGGCGCGCGAUACAGGGUGACAGCCCCGUACACAAAAAUGCACAUGCUGUGAGCUCGAUGAGUAGGGCGGGACACGUGGUAUCCUGUCUGAAUAUGGGGGGACCAUCCUCCAAGGCUAAAUACUCCUGACUGACCGAUAGUGAACCAGUACCGUGAGGGAAAGGCGAAAAGAACCCCGGCGAGGGGAGUGAAAAAGAACCUGAAACCGUGUACGUACAAGCAGUGGGAGCACGCUUAGGCGUGUGACUGCGUACCUUUUGUAUAAUGGGUCAGCGACUUAUAUUCUGUAGCAAGGCUAACCGAAUAGGGGAGCCGAAGGGAAACCGAGUCUUAACUGGGCGUUAAGUUGCAGGGUAUAGACCCGAAACCCGGUGAUCUAGCCAUGGGCAGGUUGAAGGUUGGGUAACACUAACUGGAGGACCGAACCGACUAAUGUUGAAAAAUUAGCGGAUGACUUGUGGCUGGGGGUGAAAGGCCAAUCAAACCGGGAGAUAGCUGGUUCUCCCCGAAAGCUAUUUAGGUAGCGCCUCGUGAAUUCAUCUCCGGGGGUAGAGCACUGUUUCGGCAAGGGGGUCAUCCCGACUUACCAACCCGAUGCAAACUGCGAAUACCGGAGAAUGUUAUCACGGGAGACACACGGCGGGUGCUAACGUCCGUCGUGAAGAGGGAAACAACCCAGACCGCCAGCUAAGGUCCCAAAGUCAUGGUUAAGUGGGAAACGAUGUGGGAAGGCCCAGACAGCCAGGAUGUUGGCUUAGAAGCAGCCAUCAUUUAAAGAAAGCGUAAUAGCUCACUGGUCGAGUCGGCCUGCGCGGAAGAUGUAACGGGGCUAAACCAUGCACCGAAGCUGCGGCAGCGACGCUUAUGCGUUGUUGGGUAGGGGAGCGUUCUGUAAGCCUGUGAAGGUGUGCUGUGAGGCAUGCUGGAGGUAUCAGAAGUGCGAAUGCUGACAUAAGUAACGAUAAAGCGGGUGAAAAGCCCGCUCGCCGGAAGACCAAGGGUUCCUGUCCAACGUUAAUCGGGGCAGGGUGAGUCGACCCCUAAGGCGAGGCCGAAAGGCGUAGUCGAUGGGAAACAGGUUAAUAUUCCUGUACUUGGUGUUACUGCGAAGGGGGGACGGAGAAGGCUAUGUUGGCCGGGCGACGGUUGUCCCGGUUUAAGCGUGUAGGCUGGUUUUCCAGGCAAAUCCGGAAAAUCAAGGCUGAGGCGUGAUGACGAGGCACUACGGUGCUGAAGCAACAAAUGCCCUGCUUCCAGGAAAAGCCUCUAAGCAUCAGGUAACAUCAAAUCGUACCCCAAACCGACACAGGUGGUCAGGUAGAGAAUACCAAGGCGCUUGAGAGAACUCGGGUGAAGGAACUAGGCAAAAUGGUGCCGUAACUUCGGGAGAAGGCACGCUGAUAUGUAGGUGAAGUCCCUCGCGGAUGGAGCUGAAAUCAGUCGAAGAUACCAGCUGGCUGCAACUGUUUAAUUAAAAACACAGCACUGUGCAAACACGAAAGUGGACGUAUACGGUGUGACGCCUGCCCGGUGCCGGAAGGUUAAUUGAUGGGGUCAGCGCAAGCGAAGCUCUUGAUCGAAGCCCCGGUAAACGGCGGCCGUAACUAUAACGGUCCUAAGGUAGCGAAAUUCCUUGUCGGGUAAGUUCCGACCUGCACGAAUGGCGUAAUGAUGGCCAGGCUGUCUCCACCCGAGACUCAGUGAAAUUGAACUCGCUGUGAAGAUGCAGUGUACCCGCGGCAAGACGGAAAGACCCCGUGAACCUUUACAUAGCUUGACACUGAACAUUGAGCCUUGAUGUGUAGGAUAGGUGGGAGGCUUGGAAGUGUGGACGCCAGUCUGCAUGGAGCCGACCUUGAAAUACCACCCUUUAAUGUUUGAUGUUCUAACGUUGACCCGUAAUCCGGGUUGCGGACAGUGUCUGGUGGGUAGUUUGACUGGGGCGGUCUCCUCCUAAAGAGUAACGGAGGAGCACGAAGGUUGGCUAAUCCUGGUCGGACAUCAGGAGGUUAGUGCGAUGGCAUAAGCCAGCUUGACUGCGAGCGUGACGGCGCGAGCAGGUGCGAAAGCAGGUCAUAGUGAUCCGGUGUUCUGAAUGGAAGGGCCAUCGCUCAACGGAUAAAAGGUACUCCGGGGAUAACAGGCUGAUACCGCCCAAGAGUUCAUAUCGACGGCGGUGUUUGGCACCUCGAUGUCGGCUCAUCACAUCCUGGGGCUGAAGUAGGUCCCAAGGGUAUGGCUGUUCGCCAUUUAAAGUGGUACGCGAGCUGGGUUUAGAACGUCGUGAGACAGUUCGGUCCCUAUCUGCCGUGGGCGCUGGAGAACUGAGGGGGGCUGCUCCUAGUACGAGAGGACCGGAGUGGACGCAUCACUGGUGUUCGGGUUGUCAUGCCAAUGGCACUGCCCGGUAGCUAAAUGCGGAAGCGAUAAGUGCUGAAAGCAUCUAAGCACGAAACUUGCCCCGAGAUGAGUUCUCCCUGACUCCUUGAGAGUCCUGAAGGAACGUUGAAGACGACGACGUUGAUAGGCCGGGUGUGUAAGCGCAGCGAUGCGUUGAGCUAACCGGUACUAAUGAACCGUGAGGCUUAACCU